GUGAGAAUGUGUUGAAAAUAUUGUCUUAAUCCAAAUCUACAAAUGUCAAACAUUGUAUUUUAUGUCUGGAGAAAUCUAUAGUCCCUUUUUUUAUAUGAGCUUAAAAACAUAUUUACAGUAUUUCAGUCUGCACAUCUAAGUCUCUGUGUCAUUGAGAUCAGACAGGUCAGGGAGUGGAAGAAAUUAAUUCAUGCAUAUAUUAGUCUGUUUGAGCUCAUUAAAACGAGGAAAUGCUAAUUUAUGAUGGGUGAAGGUUUAUUUAUAGCCCAAGAGUGGUGUAAGCACAUCUCUUAAGAUGUCUAAGUGAAGGAUAGGGAUCUUAUGUCAUCUCAUUGCGAGCAAUAUGUGUCUGAUUGGCCAUAGCAAAACCCUAGACAGAUGGCCCAUUCUGGUAUUUAGAGUUUAAGGCCCUGCUGUGAAACUGUUUGCUUGGAGAACUCUGGUUUAAUUCCUCCAACGUGGACACAAGAGGAAUUGUAUUUGUCCGAUGUGGACUCAAGAGGGAAAUAAAGAAAAUAAUUGGAUUUUUGGUUUCCAAACAAGAAGCACAACUUCAGCUGAGCAAGACAAAUCCGACCUAUCCCGGAGCUUAUGGGACAGUCAACUAAACUGUUAUAGCCAGGAGUUUAUUUUCAACCCAAAGACAGGAAGUUCAAUAACUUCAUAAAAGUGAUUACACUGCAUUUUGGACAGAAGGAAGAAAUGCUUCAAAGGUCACUUGAGGUUGAGUCAGUCACCUUUGCCAAACCACACAAUGAAGCCUCAGGUCAAGAAGGUUUUAGUCUAUGGGACACUCAGUCAUCACCUAGAGAGACAGAACUCUGCUAAACCUUCACUGCCGGUUGGCUUCAUCUCUGUUUGCGGUGGAUCUUUCGUCUCUAUAUGUCGUGCUCCACCCCAGGAGGCUUUGCCUUCACCUCUCCGCUCCUCUGCAAUUAAGGCUGACAGGAGAGCUUGCUCUAUUCCGCUGAUGCCAGUACUUAUAAAGAUGGAGAGAGAGAGCUCAGAUAUGUUCAUACAUCAGUCAAGGCCCCUUUCCAACCACCCAGCCAGUCUCCAUCCAUGCCAGUCUGUCUGUUGUUCUCAGUUUUUCUUUUUUACUUUAAUUUUACAACUGCCACUUGGGAGACUGAAUUGAUAUAAAUGGAUUUUUAGGAUAGUAUGUUGCUCAGGUAGCAGUGUGAUACUGUAAGUAGCAUUGAAAUUCUCUAGAAAUCACAAAUGUUGGGUAAAAUAAAAUGCAUUUAAAAGUUUAUUCAAUCAUAAUUCUUAAAU
This is a long non-coding RNA of Cyprinus carpio carpio, 1275 nucleotides long. Lineage: Eukaryota; Metazoa; Chordata; Actinopteri; Cypriniformes; Cyprinidae. The record is from Ensembl.